UGGGGAAUAUUGCACAAUGGGCGCAAGCCUGAUGCAGCCAUGCCGCGUGUAUGAAGAAGGCCUUCGGGUUGUAAAGUACUUUCAGCGAGGAGGAAGGCGUUGUGGUUAAUAACCGCAACGAUUGACGUUACUCGCAGAAGAAGCACCGGCUAACUCCGUGCCAGCAGCCGCGGUAAUACGGAGGGUGCAAGCGUUAAUCGGAAUUACUGGGCGUAAGCGCACGCAGGCGGUCUGUCAAGUCGGAUGUGAAAUCCCCGGGCUCAACCUGGGAACUGCAUCCGAAACUGGCAGGCUAGAGUCUUGUAGAGGGGGGUAGAAUUUCAGGUGUAGCGGUGAAAUGCGUAGAGAUCUGGAGGAAUACCGGUGGCGAAGGCGGCCCCCUGGACAAAGACUGACGCUCAGGUGCGAAAGCGUGGGGAGCGAACA
This 426-nucleotide ribosomal RNA is filed under the name uncultured bacterium. RNAcentral describes it as "partial 16S ribosomal RNA". It matches the Rfam family "Bacterial small subunit ribosomal RNA", at positions 355 to 774 of the family's 1533-position model. The record is from RNAcentral.